AGGGGGGCCCUGUGUGACUACAGAGGUCACAAGUCCAUGAAGCAGGUCUUGCCCCUUGAGUGUCACUUGGACACUGGCUGCCCAUGUGACAUGCUGCAUCCUCUGCCUGGAACAUCCUUCCACUGCCAUCUCUUUUUCUCUAUGAUGUACUACACGCCUGCCAAUAAAUAACUCUAAUGUGACCUCCUUUGGGAAGUUUUCCCAAAGUCUUAAAAAGUUCUUACUCAAAGUCUUACAAAGUUCUUACUCAAAUCACUCUUUCUUCAGUACUCCCCUAGCUCUUGCACAUAGUUUUAUUAACUCUUUAUCACAGUGUUUGUUUUUUUUUUUCUUGAGACAGAGUUUCACUCUUGUAACCCAGGCUGGAGUGCAGUGGCAUGAUCUUGGCUCACUACAACCUCUGCCUCCUAGGUUCAAGCAAUUCUCCUGCUCUCAGUCUCCCAAGUAGCUGGGAUUACAGUUGUGAGCCACCACACCCAGCUAAUUUUUUUAUAUUUUUAGUAGAGAUGGUGUUUCACCAUGUUGGCCAGGCUGGUCUCAAACUCCUGAUCUCGGGUGAUCCUCCUGCCUCAGCCUUCCAAAGUGCUGAUAUUACAGGCGUGAGCCACCACGCCCAGCCGAUCACAGUGUUUUUAUAAUUAUUUCUUUAAAAGUUUCUCUCCUAGAGUUUCUGCAGGACUUGGCCUAUGGAUUGUGCUUUGUUUGUUUUUUGGGUAACUCUGGCACCUCAUACAUUACCUAGCACAUGGGAGUUGAGAGAAUGAAUCAGCUGGAGUGGAUGUAUUUGGAUGGGUGUGUUAAAAAAUCAGCCAUAUAUUGCUUCACAGUUACACCUCAUCUUCAGGUUGUUAAAUCUGACUGGACUCUUAAUUUAAUAGAGGCCAGCAGGUCCUGAUGACUGGUUCUUCAUUCCAGGAGCCAUAGAAUAGUAUCAGACAGUCCCUUGAAGGGGUGGGAGGUACCUGGACCUGAAAAUUUUGGAGGCUCCCGCAAGCCAUUUACACCUAUCUCUGAAUCUCCUUAUACCUUUCACGCUUUUAAAAUGGAGGUGCAAUCUCAUUAGGGCCCACUGGCCCCAUCAAUCAGUGCCAGGUUCCAGGAACCCAGUAGUUUCAGAUUGCCCCCAGUCCUUUGCAACACUGGUUUUCAAAUGGGGUAUGCAAUAGCCGUAAAGUAAAUGAAGGCUUGGUAAGCGGUACUCAUGCAUGGAUAUAUUUAAGGAAAUUCAUUUCCAGAUCCUCAACUUCCAGAUGUACUCCACCUGAGAAAGUUCCUGGGGUUGAGGCUCCAAGCCGACUUUUUCUUCAUAAUUGUAGUUCUGCUAGUCUUCAUAAGAAAGGCCAGGCAUGGUGGCUCACGCCUGUAAUCCCAGCACUUUGGGAGGCAGAGGUGAGUGGAUCACCUGAGGUCAGGACUUCAAGACCAGCCUGGCCAACAUGGUGAAACCCUGUCUCUACUAAAAAUACAAAAAUUAGUCAGGCACAGUGGCACGUGCCAGUAAUCGCAGCUACUGGGGAGGCUGAGGCAGGAGAAUCGCUUGAACCCUGGAGGUGGAGGUUGCAGUGAGCCGAGAUCACACCAUUGCUCUCUAGCCUGGGCAAGAGUGAGACUCCAUCUCAGAGAAAAAAAAAAAAAUGGAAAAAAGAAAAGAAAGAAAGGCAUAUAUCUGACCCACCCUGAAUGAUACAUUGCACGGGGCAAUUAAAAAAAAGUUCAGAACUGGGGACAGUUAAAAAUACAAGAUUCAGAAAAUAGCCUUCUAUUAUCUUUUAAAAAUAUGUCUAUAUUUUUGUUUGUUUGUUUUGAGACAGGGUCUCGCUCUGUUGCCCAGGCUGGAGUGCAGUGGCGCAACCGUAGCUUACUGCAGCCUCAAUCUCCUGAGUUCAAGUGAUCCUCCCGCCUCAGCCUCCCAAGUAGCUGAGACUACAGGCGUGUGCCACCACACCCACCUAAUUUUUAAAAAUUUUUCAUAGAGAUGAGGUCAUACUAUAUUGCCCAGGCUGGUCCUCAAUUCCUAAGCUCAAACAGUUCUCCCAUCUUGGCCUCCCAAAGUGUUGAUAUUACAGGUAUGAGUCACUGCACUUGGCCUAAUGUUUUUUAAAAAUUUUAUUUAUUUAUUUUCUUAGAGAUAGGGUCUUGCUCUGUUGCCCAGGUAGAAGUAUAGUGGCAUGAUUAUAGCUCACUGCAGCCUUGAACUCCUGGGCUCAAGCAAUUCUCCCACCUCAGCCUCCCAAAUAGCUAGGACUACAGACACACACCACCACACCUGGCUAAUUUUUUAAUUUUUGUAGAGAUGGAGUUUCUCUAUGUUGCCCAGGUUGGUCUCAAACUCCUGGGGUCCAGUGAUCCUCCAGACUCAGCCUCCCAAAACAUUUGGAUUACAGGCUUGAGCCGCUGUGCCCAGCUCACAUUAUUUAUCAAAAUUAUUUUAAGUGGUAUGUGAGCAAAAGACUAUGAAGACCACUGGUUCAAGACCAUAGGCUAUGGUGGCCUUUAGGAGGUUUUCUAAGAGGUAGUGGCCUAGUCUUCUCCACCUCUAGUCCUCUGAAACUGAAUCUGUUUCACUAGGCAGACCAAAAAAAUCAUCGUAGACCAAGAAAGUCAUUGCACUUGAUUUCUUUGUAAUUACCACCAUGGUUGACCAGUCUUCUUUUUGAAAUACACUUCCCCUGACUUUGGCAUCAUUGCACAUUCCUGAUUUUCCCCUCCUUGGCCCCUUGUCCUAAGUUUUUGCUAGCUCCAUCUCUUCCAGUUGACCUUUUAAAUUCUGGAGUUUCUCAGGGAAGUUAUAAGCCUUCUACUCUUUCUAUUAUUUUCUAAGAAAUGUCAUCCAUGACCACAGUUUCAAAUAUAAUCUGUAUCCCAACAACUCCCAACUUUCUAUUUCUAGCAUAGACCUUGCUCCCAAACUCCUGAAUCUGAUUGCUUAUUCCACAUCUAUACCUUAAUGUCUCGUGGGAUUCCCGAACUGCAAAAAGCCAAAGCCAAGUUCAUAUUCUUUCCAUUCAUAAUGUCUUCCUCCUCUAGGCUUCCCCUGCUUAGUAACAGUGCUCUAUCUGCCCAGUUGUUCAUGCCAGAGACCUGGAAGGCAUUCUUGAUGUCUCUUUAACCUCCCCCAUAGCCAACCAAUAAUUUAUUCCUAUGAAUUCUACUUCAUGUAAGAUUUCCCUAAGCCUCCAGACCAGGCUACAUACCCUUAUUCUAUACCCUCAUAUAGCACCUUGUACUUCAUAGUAUUUAUUCAAACUGUAAUUAAGUAAUUAUUUUGUGUAAUUCUGUCUCCCCCUCUACACCAUAAGCUCCAUGAACACAAGGACAAUACCUGCUUAUUUCUGGCAUAUAGUAGGCUCUCAAUUAAUAUUUGUUUAUUUAUUUUUUGGGGAUGGAGUCUUGCUGUAUCACCCAGGCUGGAGUGCAGUGGUGUGAUCUCGGCUCACUACAGCCUCCGCCUCCUGGAUUCAAGCAAUUCUCCUGCCUCAGCCUCCCGAGUAGCUGGUAUUACAGGUGCGUGCCACCAUGCCCGGCUAAUUUUAGUAUUUUUAGAGGUGGGGUUUCACCAUGUUGGCCAGGCUGGUCUUGAACUCCUGGCCUCAAGUGAUCCACCUGCCUCGGCCUCCCAAAGUGCUGGGAUUACAGGCGUGAGCCACCACGUCCAGCUGAAUAUUUGCUAAAUGAACAAAUGUAAGCACUAUUUAUAGUGUCGUAGUCUUUCCAGUGUUGUGUAGUGUUCUGCUGUGUGUUUUUGUGAUUUAAAACCUAUUGCUAUGUUCACGGUAGGGGGCAGCAGAGUACGCGGAUACUGAGAGAGUCCAGUACUCAGUAUUAAAAGGGCAACUUCAGAUAAAUGACUUAACCUUUCUGAGACUAUUUCCUUCUCUGGAAGUCAGGGUUAAGUCUCCUUCCCUUGGAUCAAAAGAGAUAAGCAGAUGUAAAAGGGCUUCACUGCAGGACAAACAGGAGACAAUGUGAUUAGAGUCAGUUAAGAUAAAUAUUUGUUGAAUAAACAG
This 4007-nucleotide long non-coding RNA is filed under the name Homo sapiens (human). RNAcentral describes it as "HSALNT0266640". Lineage: Eukaryota; Metazoa; Chordata; Mammalia; Primates; Hominidae. The record is from RNAcentral.